Molecule: ribosomal RNA, 792 nt
Filed under: Triticum aestivum (bread wheat)
Lineage: Eukaryota; Viridiplantae; Streptophyta; Magnoliopsida; Poales; Poaceae
Description: partial small subunit ribosomal RNA
Source: RNAcentral
AUGGACUCCAGAUUCCUCUCGCUCUAUGUAAUACAAGCAACCUGGCCAGUCUUCAGUAGUUCACUAUCACGUUUAAUGGCGGAGAUUGUUGCUUCCGCGGUGGUCGGCGAGACGCUUACAAGGAUCUCCAGCUUCAUCAUCGACAAGCCUGCUGGCAAGCGGCCAUGCGACAGAGACGAGAUGGAGAGGCUGGAGAUGGCGCACAUCAAGAUGGAGGCCGCGCUGCAGCUGUCCGACCGGUGGCAGAUCACCGCCGCGCCGGUGCUCCUCUGGCGGAGCAAGCUGAAGCGUGCCGCCCAGGAGUGCGACGACACGCUGCGCCUCUGCAGGCAGCGCCAGCGCGCCGUGGUAGAUGAAGAGCUCAGGCGGCAGGCGUCCUCGCUCCCCACGCGCAUCGCCCACGCGGCCAAGUCGCUCGUGUCAUCUCUCGUCAGCCGCGGCAAGGACGUCGGCGAACCGGUCCCCGUCCGGAGCUUCGAGAGGUUCGCGGAGGGCGCCGGCGAGUUCGUCAGGUUCGUGGAGCUGGGCGGGACCCCGCGGCAGCACCUCUUCUUCGACCCGCUCAUCGGCCACCUCCUCGCGGGCAAGACGGCGCGGUACCAGGCGCUGCAGGGCGGCAGGUUCUACUACCUCGGCAUCCGGCCCAUGAGCUUCGCGGAGCGCGGGGUGGAGGCCAUGGUCGGCUUCGUCCUCCAGGACUUCAGGGCGCCUGCCAAGAGCUUCAGCUCGAGGUUCAUGCUGCGCCUCUCCGAGAGCAGCGACGUGCUCGGGAUCAUAGCCAGGUGCAUGUGA